AUUUUGGGCAUUUGCCUCGAAGCAUAGCCCAACUUGGUGCUCUUCAAUGCUUGGACGUAUCACAUUGCAAGAGACUUACACAGCUGCCAGAAUUUCCAGUUCAAUUAGAUACAAUAGAAUCAGAUUGGACAAAUUAUUGGAUCUGUAAUUCGUUAUUUCAGAAUAUCUCAUUAUUGCAGCACGACAUCUCUGCUUCAGACUCCUUGUCACUAAGAGUGAUUACAGGUUGGCAGUGGCAUGGGAUACCAAUGUUUCCAUACCAGGGAAUUGUUGGUGUACCAUUCAAUUUGCCUAAGAAUUGGUACAUACAUGAUAGCUUCUUGGGAUUUGCUGUAUGUUACUAUGGCAUAUUAACUAACUUCAUAGCUCACUUGAUUCACUUAUCUGAUGAUGGGAUGUCGUGCAUCACCCGCAAACUUGUCUUAUCCAACCAUUCAGAAUAUUCUCCAAAUGGUGUUCAUUUUUAUUUGAUACCUUUUGCUGGUUUAUGGGAUAUAUCUAACACAAAUGGAACAACACCAAAUGACUAUAGGCACAUCAUGUUAUCUUCCUCGAAAAAAAAAAUGAGUGUAUAUUUCAUUUGUUGUAUAAAGAUGAACUAGGCGUUUAGUCCUUGUUGCAAAUUAAGGAAAAUAAUGAUGAACAUUGCCUUGGGACAAGGAGGAGCAGAUUUGAUUAUAGUGAACACCAUGAUGAAGCCAGUUGCUCCUCUUCUAAGCAACAAGUAGAUGCACUUUGCAGCAACAUCAACUGCCAGGAAUAUAGAGCUCAUCGAUGGGUGAUUUACAUUUCAUCUUGUCUCCAUUUAUGCUGGAUUAAUGAAGAGCAAACUGAGAAGCGAAGAUGCUACUUUGAGAAUACAACAGAUGAAAUAGACUCUUGGCAUGAGAAAGAGAUUCAUGAAAGAACUUGGGUACGCGAUAAUUCAUUCUUUUAAAACAUAAUCACAUUUCCAUUUGCUGAUAAGCAGCUUGUCCAAAAUUCAAUUUCAGAUGAAUAUGUGCAAAACAAGAAAACUUUGCCCUAACAGGUGGAUGAAAGAAGCAUUGAAACUACUAGUAAGUUCCCUCACAUCAAAGACCCAAUGGAGCAAAGAAGAAGUAUUUCCAGUAGUCAAACAUACCUCUACUGAUAGAGCAACUAUUCUUCCAUCAGGAUGUAGAGCUCAAAUACUUUCUCCGCCACCACCAAGUUUACCGAAGUAGCAUACUUCUUUAUUGAUUCCGAUCUGCGUGUGGUAGCAAUACGAAGUAAGUUUGUUAUCUCAGAAUUAGAGUUGUGUGACAUAGCAGAGAAUUAGAA
Capsicum annuum is the source of this 1302-nucleotide long non-coding RNA. RefSeq lists it as uncharacterized. The record is from RefSeq and is a predicted model, not a curated record. Lineage: Eukaryota; Viridiplantae; Streptophyta; Magnoliopsida; Solanales; Solanaceae. The transcript has 3 exons.